Non-coding RNA from Caenorhabditis elegans, 122 nucleotides. NCBI's taxonomy places the organism in Eukaryota, Metazoa, Nematoda, Chromadorea, Rhabditida, Rhabditidae. The record is from Ensembl.
AUGAGAGCACAAAUGUGUGCAAAAAGCGACGAAUGAGAAGAGGUUGAACCUGAACUAAUGAGCCGGAUCGAAAGAGCACGCGGCAAGCGGAGAGCCUCGGAAAGAGCUCCACGCUUUUCCGG